GGGGAUAGCCAUGGCAGAGAGAAUGUUCAUGUAUUCACUGGCUUCACUCAUUCAUUCUUUCGACUGGAAGUUGCCUGAAGGAGAGAAAUUAGACCUUGAAGAGAAGUUUGGGAUUGUUUUUAAGAAGAAACUGCCUCUGGUGGCUAUACCUACUCCAAGAUUAUCCAAUCCAACUCUCUAUGAGUAAAAUAAAAGAUGCAUCUCUAUGUUGGCAAUGGUCUUAUGAACAACUCAAAGUUCUAAUGUUCCAUGUGAAACUAGUUCCAUGACUCCUUUAGUAUUAUAUACUGAAUUGAAUUUGAGAUAUCAAUACAUGUAUAUCAUUUUAUUUGGAGUACGUAAAUGAUUUCAUACCGUUCCUUGUUUAGUUUGUGUUCAUAUAAAGAAGAUAUGGUUGGCAUCUCCCUGAUAGAUAUGUAAACACCCCUUGAACAAAUUGUGAGAUAUAUUGAAAAUAAAUCUUUAUCCAAGUUUACAUCAAACACAUAUUAUAUUAUACAAUGCAUAUGUAGAUUUUAAUGCGCUAAACCAAAUGUCCAAUCACAAAUACAAAUAUUAUAAUAAUUAUGUUGCUUCAUAAUGAAUCCUUAUAUUAAGUCGUGUACAAGUUAUCUUAUCUAACCAUGAUCAUAAACUCUGAUAUUUAUGCAAACUAAAAAUGUUGUGUACUCUUUUAAGAGGUUGAUUAAUAUGCUGAAUUAGUAUUUGAAUUAAACUGGAAAAAACUUACUGCUGUUAGUAGCUCUAAAAAUAAGGGCAGAUUGGAUUUUUCCGAGGAGAUGUGAGAUAAACUCCAGAUUAGAGUGAUCUGCGCCUCAAUCAACUGAAAAUAAGCAUGGCAUGCUUCUUUAGAGAAACUGCAUAUUCAAUGCAUACAUGACAAUUUUUUUUCUUCUUUUUGCCCAAACAAUUAAAAAAAAAAGAAAAAAGAAGGAAAGAAGUGGUCCCUAUUUAGAAACAAGAAACAAUUUGGGACCAAUAGUACAUUGUUGUUUAUUUCCCUUGAAGUAACAGUAUGAGUGUGGAGGUAUCUAUAUUCAUUUUCAUCUUAUGGGACUGUCAAACUACUAAUUUGUCUUGAUCCAAAAUAUCUGUCUUCAGAAUUCACCAUUUUCUUUUAAGUGGUGUUAAAGCAUUGAGCUUCCAAUCACGUUGGUUCAGCCUUUUUUCUACACCACUGCUCUUUCUAAUCUCAUUUUCCUCUAAGGCUCAAAUAAUGUCUCUCAAGUUCUUCAAACCUCUAUUUGAUUAUUGGCCGUGGCGUUUGCAUGAAGCCAAUAUUGAGCAAAAUGGUAUCUUUUUCUCCAAUAUUCUUGGAAUUGUAGCUUUACUAUUGUUUGUUUGGAUUUUCAUCAAGAAGUCAAAGAAGGGACAACCCCCAUUGCCACCAGGGGCUAAAGCUUUGCCUUUAGUAGGUAAUCUCCUCUCUCUUGAUCCUGAACUCCACGCCUAUUUUGCAUCACUUUCCCAAACUUAUGGCCCUAUUUGUAGACUCUGGCUUGGUAAAAAAGUUGGGAUUAUCAUUACCUCUCCUGCUUUAGCUCGUGAGGUGCUUAAGGAACAAGAUACUAUUUUUGCUAACGGAGAUGCGCCUGCUGCUGCUAGAGAAUUUUCAUAUGGUGGUAAGGACAUAGUUUGAACUUCUUAUGGACCAAAAUGGCGCAUGUUGAGGAAGAUUUCUGUUCGUGAAAUGCUUAAUGGUUCUACUUUAGACUCCGUUUAUGCACUAAGGCGACGGGUGUUUAGACAGACAGUUAAUUACUUAUAUAAUCAGGCAGGUUCACCAGUGAGUAUCGGUGAGCAGAUGUUCUUGAAUGCUCUUAAUGUGAUUACGAGCAUGUUAUGGGGUGACACAGUGAAGGGUGAGGAAAGAGCUAGUCUCGGUGCAGAGUUUAGGCUUCUUGUGACUGGGAUGACUGAGCUGAUAGGUACUCCGGAUGUUUCGGAUUUUUACCCGGGCUUGGCUAGGUUUGAUUUGCAAGGUGUAACAAAGAAGAUGAAGGUGUUGGCAAAGCGGGUUGACAAGAUAUUUGAGACCAUUAUUGAUCAAAGACGGAAAACGGAUAGAGAUGGUGGGAUGGGAAGUGGUGUUGGCCAAGAAAGGAAGGAUUUUUUACAGGUUUUGCUGAAGUUGAAAGAUGAUGCCGAUGCCAAAAUACCUCUGACCAUGUCUGAACUCAAAGCCUUACUCAUGGUAUGUUUUGUCAUUUGUGCAUUCCACUGUAGGAAAAGUCACUUUAUCAGAUCUGAUGUUGGUUGUUUCCUUCUAAAUGUGUUUUUCCAAAUCAUAGUCAUUACUGCAUCAUUACCGAGUAGUCAAUAUUGCAUUUGCCUUCAACAGUUCAUACCUUAUCUAUGUGGAUGAAUAAUUGGCUUACACUGAUCAUGAUGGCGGACCUUCUUUUAGUUAUAAUAAAAAGAUCGAAUCAAAGGAAAGAGUGGGAUUGUAAAUUUAUAGAAGAAUUUUUUGGCGUAUGAGAAAUAAAUUGAAGUCUUUUUCGAAACUACUGUGAUUAUGAUUUCCUUGAGCUGAGGGUCUAUCGGAAACAACCUCUCUACCUUCACAAGAUAGGGGUAAGGUCUGCAUACAUUACCCUCCCCAGACUCUACUUGUGGAUUACACCGGGUAUGUUGUUGUCGCUGUUGUAUGAGAAAUAAUUUAAGAAAAUCAGAUUCAUAAACUCAUGUCCUGAACUUUGGUUGCAUUCUUCUACUAUAGCAAACUUCACUUGAAAUGGAUGUGGUGCUGCUUUCUAAGUUUGCAUUUGCGUGAUAAACAGUCGAUCUUUAUUAAUUAUGGAUGAAUAAUUGGCUUAGUGUGAUAUUUUAGUCAUAAAAAGAGGAUCAAAUGCUAACAAAAAUGGAAGAUGCGAUUGCAAAUUUAUCAAAGAACUGAUGUGGCAUAUAAGAAAUAAAUACAAGAAUCAGACUCAAGUAAUCCAUGUCCUGAACUGGUGGUUGCUACCUAGUUAUUGGAGUACACAUCAGACAACAUGUAAAGACUUAACUGUGAAUUCAGAGUAAACCUUGAACUGAACUCCAAUAUGCAGUUACAAAAUACUGAAUUGUUGUUGUACAUGAUAAUAACUUUUACAAAUACCAUGAACAGGAUAUGAUUGUUGGUGGAACUGACACAACCUCCAACACGGUUGAGUUUGCCAUAGCUGAAAUUAUGAACAAUCCAAAGGUCCUGAGGAAAUUACAACAGGAACUGGAGACAGUUGUGGGCAAAGAUAACAUAGUAGAAGAGUCUCAUAUUCAGAACUUACCAUAUCUCUAUGCAGUUAUGAAAGAAGUCUUGCGCAUACAUCCAGUGGUCCCACUAUUGGUGCCACAUUGUCCUAGUGAGACAGUCACUGUGGGAGGAUACACCAUUCCUAAAGGAUCUCGUGUUUUCAUAAAUGUAUGGGCUAUACAGAGAGAUCCCUCUAUAUGGGAAAAUCCGACUGAGUUCUAUCCGGAAAGAUUUUUGGACAAUAAAUUGGAUUAUAGUGGAAAUGAUUUCAACUUUAUUCCAUUUGGUUCUGGAAGAAGAAUGUGUGCGGGAAUAGCCAUGGCAGAGAGGAUGUUCAUGUAUUCACUGGCUUCACUUAUUCACUCUUUCGACUGGAAGUUUCCCGAAGGAGAGAGAGUAGACCUUACAGAGAAGUUUGGUAUUGUUUUGAAGAAGAAAAUUCCUCUGGUGGCUAUACCUACUCCAAGAUUAUCCAGUCCAACACUCUAUGAGUAAGAUAAAAUAUGUUGCUCUAUCCUGGCAAUAAUCUUAUGAACAACUCAAUGAAAAAUCAGAAGGUUCCAUUGUUAAUUCUAUCUGAAAUGGCUAAUGGCUGUGACUCCUUAACUAUUGUAUACUGUACCAAAUUUGAAAUAAUAAUACAUGUGUUACUUCAUCAAAGCACUUAAAAUAACAAAGCAUGAUACUGUUACUUCUUUAGUUAGUUUUCCUAUUAAGGGAGAGAUGAUUGGCAUCUCCCUGAUAGAUAUGCCAGCAGCCUUCUAGCACUGCAUGGAUAUUAUAGAAAAUAAAUCUUUUUCCAAUUUUAAAUCAAACACAUUUUACAUUAUACAAUGUAUACAUUGAUUUUAAUGCAAUGAACCAAAUAGCCAAUGACAAUUACAUAGUUGUGUCUUAUGAGCACAGAAUUGUGGCCUUCCAAUCGUGGGAUUUUUACCAUUCCUCCGCCCCAAUAUGCAUCACCAGCUUACUGAAUUGUCUCAAAGCUUGAUGAUACAGUUGACACUAUUAGAAAGUCAUCUUGGCGUGGAAUCAGGGGCGUACCCAGGAUACUAUUAGUGAAAUUCGGAGUGGUGCAGUUUCUUAUAUAUCGGGUAAAAAGCUUAGAUCUACAUUUCGUCUU
This 4358-nucleotide long non-coding RNA is filed under the name Nicotiana tabacum (common tobacco). RNAcentral describes it as "long non-coding RNA (NTAB_LNC009057)". Lineage: Eukaryota; Viridiplantae; Streptophyta; Magnoliopsida; Solanales; Solanaceae. The record is from RNAcentral.